UGCUAUGGCUCUAAUGGGAGGCAUUGGUAUCAUCCACCACAACUGCACACCAGAAUUCCAAGCCAAUGAGGUCCGCAAGGUUAAGGUUCUGAGGUUUGAGCAGGGUUUUAUCACAGACCCAGUUGUGAUGAGUCC
Molecule: long non-coding RNA, 135 nt
Organism: Perca fluviatilis (European perch)
Lineage: Eukaryota; Metazoa; Chordata; Actinopteri; Perciformes; Percidae
Exons: 4
Source: RefSeq, a predicted model, not a curated record